GCAGCCAUGACCUUGGGGAAGCUGUCGCCGUCUGGGUGUUGUCUGCUUCUGGGGGGACGUUCCCUGUCAGCCGUACUUGACAAUCUCUGGCAGGGGUGCAAGUCUAGAGUCUGGAGGGGCCCUUUGGCGAGUGAGAUGGGAACCAAAUUCAAGACAUUGGCAUUUAGCGGCAUGUGGGUGGGAGAACUGGCGUGCCUUCCCGGGGGGCCAGGGCAGCCUUUCUGUGCCGUUCUCCUAGACUCUCUCGGGUUGGAUUCUCCUCGGUUGGUGGAUCCUGAGAAGACGCCUGUGCCUGGUGAAGAUGCAUUAGAGCGUCGCCCCUGAGCCGGGUCUGGAGCUACGUGAGGUUCUGCAGCUGCAUCUUGGCCCUCCUCCCACGCACAGCUUCUGUGCAACCCGGACACGCAGGCCACACAGAAGGAGGUCACGAGAGCUCGUCACAUCCCCCUGGAGGUGGCAGGUUGUGUUGUUCCGUCUCCUCCACCGUCAGACGAUGGGUGGGGAACUUGUAACACAGGAAGCUUCAAGGAGUCAGGAAAGACCAGGCACAUCCGGCCCUCCGUGAAUCCGUGCUUAAAACUGGGUUUACAUCCUUUCCAAAAGCUGUUUUGUUUCUCCAACUCGGGUGCAUAGCAUGGCUUAUUAAAUUGGUUAUUGGAGGCAAUUUGACCUGGA
Molecule: non-coding RNA, 675 nt
Organism: Ictidomys tridecemlineatus (thirteen-lined ground squirrel)
Lineage: Eukaryota; Metazoa; Chordata; Mammalia; Rodentia; Sciuridae
Source: RefSeq, a predicted model, not a curated record